GAUGAACAAAUUCAAGUCUCAUCGGUGGAUCACUCGGCUCGU
RNAcentral lists this ribosomal RNA (42 nucleotides) under Belonolaimus euthychilus. RNAcentral describes it as "partial 5.8S ribosomal RNA". Lineage: Eukaryota; Metazoa; Nematoda; Chromadorea; Rhabditida; Belonolaimidae. RNAcentral also lists the same sequence under 1 other name. The record is from RNAcentral.